UUCCCGUUCGCCACAUCCAGAACCAACAGUUAAGUCUGCCAGAGUUAAGCUGGCACUUCAGAGGGUCUUUCUUUGGCCUGAUGCAUGGUGCUAUAGGCCUGGAGGAAAGUUAAGCAUUGUCAUGAAAACAUAUGCUGAAUGGUGUGUUUCAAUGUGUCAUUCUCUGUAGUACUGAAAAUUAUUAUAACUGCUAAUGAAACAAAGAGGAAGAAAUGUAGAUGCAAGACUUUCAUGUGAUUGUUUUUGUCAAAAUGAGCUAAAACACAUCAGGCUUAUACAAUAAAGUUUUCCAUAGUGAAUGGAGAACUGAGCAGGUUUGUCGUCCAUUUUGAGACCUUCCAUAAAAGUCUCUGUCACUUUUGCUUUAAUGUCCCCUUGCUUAAGUUUUUACAGCCUGAAGGUGAUGGUUUUGAUGAUAAUAAUAAUAAUCUCCACAAUACAUCACAGGAUCAAAGUUCAUAUGUAUCUAUUGUGCCAUAAA
Long non-coding RNA from Seriola dumerili (greater amberjack), 481 nucleotides. RefSeq lists it as uncharacterized. The record is from RefSeq and is a predicted model, not a curated record. NCBI's taxonomy places the organism in Eukaryota, Metazoa, Chordata, Actinopteri, Carangiformes, Carangidae. The transcript has 3 exons.